UACGUAGGGUGCAGGCGUAAUCGGAAUUACUGGGCGUAAAGCGUGCGCAGGCGGUCUUUUAAGUCAGAUGUGAAAUCCCCGGGCUUAACCUGGGAACUGCGUUUGAAACUGGAAGGCUUGAGUGUGGCAGAGGGGGGUGGAAUUCCACGUGUAGCAGUGAAAUGCGUAGAUAUGUGGAGGAACACCGAUGGCGAAGGCAGCCCCUGGGCUAACACUGACGCUCAUGCACGAAAGCGUGGGGAGCAAACAGG
This 251-nucleotide ribosomal RNA is filed under the name uncultured bacterium. Its description in RNAcentral is "partial 16S ribosomal RNA". It matches the Rfam family "Bacterial small subunit ribosomal RNA", at positions 524 to 776 of the family's 1533-position model. The record is from RNAcentral.